UACGAAGGGGGCAAGCGUUGUUCGGAAUUAUUGGGCGUAAAGGGCGCGUAGGCGGCCUGGCAAGUGGAUGGUGAAAUCCCUCGGCUUAACCGAGGAACUGCCAUCCAGACUGCUUGGCUUGAGACCGGGAGAGGUGAGUGGAAUUCCCAGUGUAGCGGUGAAAUGCGUAGAUAUUGGGAGGAACACCAGUGGCGAAGGCGGCUCACUGGACCGGUACUGACGCUGAGGCGCGAAAGCGUGGGGAGCAAACGGG
Molecule: ribosomal RNA, 253 nt
Filed under: uncultured bacterium
Lineage: Bacteria
Description: partial 16S ribosomal RNA
Rfam family: Bacterial small subunit ribosomal RNA
Source: RNAcentral